Molecule: long non-coding RNA, 2135 nt
Organism: Oncorhynchus masou masou (cherry salmon)
Lineage: Eukaryota; Metazoa; Chordata; Actinopteri; Salmoniformes; Salmonidae
Exons: 6
Source: RefSeq, a predicted model, not a curated record
ACAAGAAAGAGGAGGGGCAUGGAGGGAGAUAUUAUCCUGUUAUCAGAGCAGCAUCCUUGGUGGUGUACCCAGGAAUCUUUGCAGUGUUUUUCAAAAUGAUGAAACCGCAUCAAAGCUUCCUGUUCUAUGACGGACUCUGGCUGGACUGAAGAAGACGCAUGGUUUCGAUCCUUCAACAACAACGGAUCCUUCAACCACAAGAGGCAUUGCAUUGCCACUACGGCUGUGGAUGUCAAUUGAAUGACAUCUUGCGCAAUGUAACGGGAGUGCUUAUGGUCAAUCUGAAUGAUUCCUAUAGAAUCAAUUUAGAAAUAAUUUCAGAACAAUCUGAGAUGGUGUGUUUCAUGGCUUGCUGAAAUGACAAGGAAUGACCCAAUAGCUAAACAGAAUGUUAUCUGCCUGAAGGCCUAAAAAACAGGAUCCGGCAAGAAGUCAACAAAUGAUAGCGCCUGAGUAAUGGAAGUGGACCUGGGGGCUACAGGGCCUGGGUUAUCCUCUACAUCACCAGAGGAACAGAGGAGGAGUAGGAUAAAGAGCUUCUGCCUUCUGCUCGCGAGAGUUUUCUGUCCGACAAACUGCUAUGAGGCCGGUGGUUCCUGGUCCCCUACCCGAUGCUAUCCCCACGACAUCACCCCCAAUUCCCCUGGACAUGGAGGGGAGUCAGGGAUAUUUUAUCAGAUCCCUACUGGACUCCCGGCGUUGUGGGGGUCGGCUCCAGUACCUGGUGGACUGGGAGGGGUAUGGCCCAUACGAGCGGUGUUGGGUUCCGGUUGAGGACAUUCUGGAUCCCAACAUCAUCCAUGAUUUCCACCUUUGCCGCCCGGGACAUGUCAGAGGGGGGGUCACUGUCACGUCUAGUCCUUCUCCUCCACUCCAGCGUUCGACAUUGCCUGACUGCUAACCACUGUUCCUGGGAUUCAUCAUUACGCACACCUGUUUAUCAUUAUGAUUCACACCUGGACUCCAUGACCUUCCUCAUUACUUCACAUUCAUCUGUCCCUCUCUUACGUUUGUUCCUCAGUCACUAUUGUUUCUAUGCUUUUCGCCACUGUGAUGUUCUCGUUUCAUGUUUAUUGUUUUAUUAAACAUUUCACCUGCACCUGCUUCUCGACUCACAGCAUCUCCGUUACAAUAGAAAUUAUGGAUGGCCUCUUAUCCGCUCGCCAUUCCCUUAUGCCAUAGUUUUACAUCUCAAUUGUCAGGAGAAACCAUGUUUGUUUAACCAAGUCAGCCAUAUCAGCUACAGCGGUUCUUUAAAAAAAAGUUGCGUCAUACUGCAGCACACCUUGCGGGCUGCCGCAGAAUUCAAUGACACGUUAUUUCAGUGUCAGCCAUUGUUGCCAGUAAUGCUAGUUAGUGCAGAGGGCAUCUUUGAGAAGGAUUUGACAGUUUUUAACAUUGGCUGUACUAGAGAAUUUUAAACCUUUUUUGCAAGAAUAAUUUUAUGAAAUGUAGCUUAAUUUUUUUCAAAUUAUGGUGUUUCUAUUCCACCAAAAAACAAAACCCUCAGUAUUUCCGUUAGGGAAAUAUGGCAAUGUACAACGUGAACGGUUGGGAUUAGGCUACUAAAACCAAAAAUAAUCCUAACAUUUCCACCCCAUAAUUGUAAGGUAACCAAUACCCAAACAGAGUUUCAGGGUGAAAUAAAAAAGACCAGUCCCCAUGCUUGUCUCAGAGCAGCACGAAACGGUGCUGAAAUAGUUGACCACACGUGGGUAGGCUAUUGCUUCAAAUCCUGUUAUAUCAAUUGGAUGGCUUUUGGUGUUCCAGUAAGCAACUAUUUGUUUCAUUCAUUAGCCUACUUUACUGUGAAAAAUGUAUGUUUAACUCUUCCAAGCCUACAAGCAAGAAACUGACGAUAAAACAAUUCAACAAAUACACUGAUCACCUCAGCAAGGUUUUACCUGUGGUGGUGGAACUGGGGGGAAGUGCAACUAAAAGGUAGCAUAGAUGUUCAGUAGUUGAAAUACACAUUUUGGAAGUCUUUUUUAUUAUUAUUUUAACGAAAGCAAAAAGAUGUUGAUGAAAAGAUACUGUGUAAAACUUUAGAGUACUUAAGCAUUGAAUACAUUGCAAAUAUGGGGGAUUUUCACACCUACAGCAGCCAAGGCAAUUAAACUAAUCGAUGGAUAACA